CAUAUCAACUACUACCGUAUGCAUGCCUUUCGUUCUCUUGUCAAGAACUGUGGCCUCCUUGAUAUUGGUUAUAGUGGUCCUGCUUACACUUGGCGAGGUAGACAAAAUACAUCCAAACCUAUCCAUCGUCGCCUUGACCGUUGUUUAGUUAACUCUGAUUGGUGUGCUCAUUUCCCUAACACUAAGGUCCUCAAUCUUCCCAUUAUUCUUAGUGACCAUGCUCCUAUUUUGAUUUCCACUGAUAGUCACUUUGUUAAACCCAAACAAUCUUUUAAAUUUAAAAAC
RNAcentral lists this ribosomal RNA (285 nucleotides) under Triticum aestivum (bread wheat). RNAcentral describes it as "partial small subunit ribosomal RNA". Lineage: Eukaryota; Viridiplantae; Streptophyta; Magnoliopsida; Poales; Poaceae. The record is from RNAcentral.